GACGAACGCUGGCGGCGUGCCUAAUACAUGCCAGUUGAGCGCUGAAGGUUGGUACUUGUACCAACUGGAUGAGCAGCGAACGGGUGAGUAACGCGUGGGGAAUCUGCCUUUGAGCGGGGGACAACAUUUGGAAACGAAUGCUAAUACCGCAUAAAAACUUUAAACACAAGUUUUAAGUUUGAAAGAUGCAAUUGCAUCACUCAAAGAUGAUCCCGCGUUGUAUUAGCUAGUUGGUGAGGUAAAGGCUCACCAAGGCGAGGAUACAUAGCCGACCUGAGAGGGUAACGGGCCAACUUGGACCUGAGCACGGGCCCAACCCCUACGGGGGGGAGGCGGUGGGGAAUUUUCGGCAAGGGAGGAAAGUUGGCCGGGGCACCGCGGGGUAAGGGAGGAGGGUUUCGGAUCGUAAAACUCUGUUGGUAGAGAAGAACGUUGGUGAGAGUGGAAAGCUCAUCAAGUGACGGUAACUACCCAGAAAGGGACGGCUAACUACGUG
RNAcentral lists this ribosomal RNA (496 nucleotides) under uncultured bacterium. RNAcentral describes it as "partial 16S ribosomal RNA". It matches the Rfam family "Bacterial small subunit ribosomal RNA", at positions 28 to 507 of the family's 1533-position model. The record is from RNAcentral.